GCCUGGUCCAAAGGCAGUGUGUUAUCUCAAUUGAUUGUUUGCAGUCAGUUAUAGAUUACACUCCUGGCUAUGCUUCUCAUUACUGCACUUGACUAGAGAU
Rattus norvegicus (Norway rat) is the source of this 100-nucleotide non-coding RNA. Ensembl annotates it as Y RNA. The record is from Ensembl. NCBI's taxonomy places the organism in Eukaryota, Metazoa, Chordata, Mammalia, Rodentia, Muridae.